AUGGCCUCGAGCUCAAACCCGGUCAGCAUGGACAUGGACCCGCCCGUCGUCUCUAUCGCCGUCGAGCACGGCCCGCCGGAGUCGCGCCUGGUUCAGCUCGGCGUCAGGUCCUGGCCCAAGUGGGGCUGCCCGACGGGGAAGUUUCCGGUGAAGUUCGACGCGAGGCAGACGUGCUAUCUGGUGAAGGGCAAGGUGAGGGCGCACAUCAAGGGGUCGUCCGAGUGCGUGGAGUUCGGCGCCGGCGACCUCGUCGUCUUCCCCAAGGGGCUCAGCUGCACCUGGGACGUCGUCGCCGCCGUCGACAAGUACUACAAGUUCGAUUCGUCUUGA
RNAcentral lists this ribosomal RNA (330 nucleotides) under Triticum aestivum (bread wheat). Its description in RNAcentral is "partial small subunit ribosomal RNA". The record is from RNAcentral. Lineage: Eukaryota; Viridiplantae; Streptophyta; Magnoliopsida; Poales; Poaceae.